Molecule: ribosomal RNA, 1251 nt
Filed under: Staphylococcus aureus
Lineage: Bacteria; Bacillati; Bacillota; Bacilli; Caryophanales; Staphylococcaceae
Description: partial 23S ribosomal RNA
Rfam family: Bacterial large subunit ribosomal RNA
Source: RNAcentral
UCGAUUCCCUUAGUAGCGGCGAGCGAAACGGGAAGAGCCCAAACCAACAAGCUUGCUUGUUGGGGUUGUAGGACACUCUAUACGGAGUUACAAAGGACGACAUUAGACGAAUCAUCUGGAAAGAUGAAUCAAAGAAGGUAAUAAUCCUGUAGUCGAAAAUGUUGUCUCUCUUGAGUGGAUCCUGAGUACGACGGAGCACGUGAAAUUCCGUCGGAAUCUGGGAGGACCAUCUCCUAAGGCUAAAUACUCUCUAGUGACCGAUAGUGAACCAGUACCGUGAGGGAAAGGUGAAAAGCACCCCGGAAGGGGAGUGAAAUAGAACCUGAAACCGUGUGCUUACAAGUAGUCAGAGCCCGUUAAUGGGUGAUGGCGUGCCUUUUGUAGAAUGAACCGGCGAGUUACGAUUUGAUGCAAGGUUAAGCAGUAAAUGUGGAGCCGUAGCGAAAGCGAGUCUGAAUAGGGCGUUUAGUAUUUGGUCGUAGACCCGAAACCAGGUGAUCUACCCUUGGUCAGGUUGAAGUUCAGGUAACACUGAAUGGAGGACCGAACCGACUUACGUUGAAAAGUGAGCGGAUGAACUGAGGGUAGCGGAGAAAUUCCAAUCGAACCUGGAGAUAGCUGGUUCUCUCCGAAAUAGCUUUAGGGCUAGCCUCAAGUGAUGAUUAUUGGAGGUAGAGCACUGUUUGGACGAGGGGCCCCUCUCGGGUUACCGAAUUCAGACAAACUCCGAAUGCCAAUUAAUUUAACUUGGGAGUCAGAACAUGGGUGAUAAGGUCCGUGUUCGAAAGGGAAACAGCCCAGACCACCAGCUAAGGUCCCAAAAUAUAUGUUAAGUGGAAAAGGAUGUGGCGUUGCCCAGACAACUAGGAUGUUGGCUUAGAAGCAGCCAUCAUUUAAAGAGUGCGUAAUAGCUCACUAGUCGAGUGACACUGCGCCGAAAAUGUACCGGGGCUAAACAUAUUACCGAAGCUGUGGAUUGUCCUUUGGACAAUGGUAGGAGAGCGUUCUAAGGGCGUUGAAGCAUGAUCGUAAGGACAUGUGGAGCGCUUAGAAGUGAGAAUGCCGGUGUGAGUAGCGAAAGACGGGUGAGAAUCCCGUCCACCGAUUGACUAAGGUUUCCAGAGGAAGGCUCGUCCGCUCUGGGUUAGUCGGGUCCUAAGCUGAGGCCGACAGGCGUAGGCGAUGGAUAACAGGUUGAUAUUCCUGUACCACCUAUAAUCGUUUUAAUCGAUGGGGGGACGCAGUAGGAUA